CGCUGGGCGACCUUCACUUCCCCCUGGCCAGUGGCUGGAGGCCAGUCCUGGGGAAGGCCCCUCUAAACACCAAGUGGACCAUGAUGAACUGGCAUCUGGGUCCCUGGCAUUCUGGGAGGUCCAUCUUACUGUCUAACCUUAAUCCCUGUUGCUGUAGCCUGGGAAGGAGGAAAUGGCGUUCCUAGAACCACUGCCUUCAACUCACAGCGUCUGUGCUCCUGUCACUCACACUCACACGCAUGCACACACACUCGCGUGAGUGGGGCCAGGAUUCCGCCACAGGUGGGUCUGGCUGGCACCGAGGGGUGCUCCUCCACCUGCUGUUCCCACAGAGAAAUCUAGGUCACUCCAGCCGGGCCCUCCCCUCUAAUUCCUCAGGGAGCCCCUGGUCCAGACAGGCCUGGCUUUCCUCCAGGACUUCCAGCACCCCCACACCUCUCCCCGCUUUCCCGUUCUGCUCAUUCCCGUGAGGUAUGGGAGGAGCGUGGGUGUCUGGGUGUCCCUGAGACCCUAUGUGAGUCUGUGCUACCGGGGCCAGG
RNAcentral lists this long non-coding RNA (539 nucleotides) under Homo sapiens (human). RNAcentral's name for it is "HSALNT0170757". Lineage: Eukaryota; Metazoa; Chordata; Mammalia; Primates; Hominidae. The record is from RNAcentral.